UGCAGACAUUACGGUGCAUAAGUGUAUAAUCUGCAGCGAGAGCGAACGGUGUUGCUGGUUAUCGCGCGGUGCCCUUCGUGUUUUUUCGCGCAAAGAGACGACGCGAGAGUGUGCGCGCGUUUUUUUUCUCCAUUGCGGAACCGAUCGCCGUCCUUCCGCCAAAGUUCCAGCCAAACUUUGGCCGCGAAGAAGAUAACCUAAUUACCCGUGAUCGAUCCACCGCGACUAUCUUUCUCUCGCAGCGGUCGUCGCGGCCGCUCGAGCGUAUCGACGCUUGUGAUAAUUUCGACAAAUUUUCCGCCUCUCCCAAGCAGCAACUCUGUGUUAGCUCCACAAGACGCGAGUUAUCGCGCAACGAUCGUUCACGAUCGGGUUGACGAACGCGCGCAUGCGCGUGUGUGUGUGUGUGUGUGUGUGUGUACGUAUCCCGAGCCGUGGAGUGGAAUGCGCCGCGGCGGCGGCCGAGAGGUAACGACGACGACGACGACGACGUCGUGAAGACCGCCCGGGAUCGUUCUCCUCGCGACUGCGGCACAAGUGCGGCAGGCCAGUCAAUACUAUGCGCCACGACGGAUCGAGACACAUAAAUGCGCCCGGAAUUGGAACGCGGUUCAGCACGUGAAGUACCAAGGCCGGUCUGGCAUCAAUACAUAGUAUAUUGCACAUUUAUUUUCUAUUUAUUUUGAGACUGCUUAGAGCGAGAAAGCGAGAGAAAGCGAGAAAGAGAGAGAGGGAGAGAAAGAUGAGAGCACUCGAGGGCGCAGGCUGGCCUACGAGCGUGGCGGCGUUGUCAUACGGGGAAGACCUAGUAAUGAUUUUGUUUAUAUUUUUUGUAUUUGCCGAUGAUCCUCCCGUCGAUGGUUGUUUCGCUGGACGGUACCAGUUGGAGUGUACAACAGCAACAACCGCAACACCAGCUGCUUGUCGUGGACUCGGCCGCUCAGCAGCAGCAGCAGCAGCAGCAACAACAACGCCAGCAGCAACCGCGAAAUCAGAUUGCCGCGUCGAAUCAGGCGUCAUCUUUGUCGGAAGGUGAUUUGCAACAACCGCAGUGUCGCAAGAUGACUGACCAGCGAGAGCAGCAGCAGCAGCAGCAGCAGCAGCAGCAGCAGCAACAGCAGCAGCAACAGCAGCACCAGCAGCCGCAGACUCAAUUUCAGCAGCAACAACAGCAGCAACAGCAGGUCAAAAGUAAUGACGAGGCAAAAACGAACUUGAUCAUUAAUUACCUCCCACAAAAUAUGAACGAGAAAGAACUGUACAGUUUAUUCGUUACGAUUGGUCCGGUUGAAUCCUGUCGAGUCAUGAAGGAUUACAAGACUGGUUACAGCUACGGUUUUGGUUUUGUCAACUACGCGAAAGCUGAGGACGCGGCGACGGCGAUAAACACGUUGAAUGGUCUUCAGGUGCAAAAUAAACGUCUGAAAGUUUCGUUUGCUCGGCCUUCCGGGGAAGAAAUUAAGGAAACGAAUCUUUACGUUACAAAUUUACCAAGAAAUAUAACGGAAAGCCAAAUCGACGAACUUUUUAGUAAAUUUGGCAACAUCGUGCAAAAGAAUAUACUGAGGGAUAAACUAACCGGUUUACCGAGAGGAGUAGCGUUUGUUAGAUUCGAUAAGAGAGAGGAAGCCCAGGAGGCGAUCGCGCAACUUCACGGUACAAUACCGGAGGGUGGAUCAGAGCCUCUUAGCGUAAAAAUCGCGGAAGAACACGGAAAGCAAAAGGCGGCAUAUUACGCGGGCUGGCAGGCGGGAUACAAUCAAAGCCGCGUUAACAUCGUUCGAGACCAUCACAACGUAAUUUGCGGAGACACACGUUUGGAGGAACGAGUUGUGAGCGAUGGAAGGCGCACUUCUAGACUGAUAAUUUCCAAGUUUGACCGGGGAACUUUAUAACGCAAACGAUUCCACCCACAGGAUGCUGCGGCCUAGAGAUUAGCCGGCAAGCUCGUGAAAAGGAAACAGGAAAGGGGCGGUUAGAGACCAAGAUAUGGAGAUAUCGGAACGGAAUAUCUCACCGAUCGGUUUUCAACGGUCGCAGCAUGGAUUCAUCCGAUUCGUUAUCCAACCUUUGACUUACACCAGUAUGUUUUUUGUAUGCUCUUUCCAACUGUCGGUGUUCCCAUUGAACGAGCCGGAGUUCUCCCCAGGAAUCGCAGCGAGAGAUUUUAUAUGAAUUGCACGCAUCUGUCCCACGUAUGUUUCAAAAAUUUCUAAUUCUGCCACAAGAAACGCAGGAAUAACGAUAAGCCGACCAGAAACCUCUUCCCGAGUCUUCCGAUAAAAGAAAUCUUUACCGCACAGAGUUGAACAUUACAUUUCAAUUCUUACACACUUUGUGAAAAUAAAAGAAGAAUUGGAAUCAGAAGAUAAGUUAUUAUUCACUAUAUAUAAAGUACGAAUAAUUAGUUUUGUUUCGAGGAAAGUGUGACGUGAUAUACAAAAGGGUUUCGCAUUUUAUUUCUCAGAAAUGUGACAUAAUGUUCAAGCGCAAAGAUAAUGCGACGGAGCAAUGCGAUGAAUAAUAUUCUGGGAAAAAAAUCGGACGAAUUGAAAUUAAUCGUAGUCUUGAUUAAAAUUAAGAUCAAGUUUCUAGAACGCACGUUGUGUGUCGAAACUCUUCAUUGCAUCGAAUAUAACAUUAUAAUUUUUGAUCAGAGUGAUAAGGGUCAGAGAGACACAAAGAAGGAAAGAGAGAGAGAGAACCGCGGUCGGAGUACAUUGUUGGAAUGACUCAUCACCCGCGCAUUUUAGUUUAUUUUACUCGCGGCGGAAUCAACACAAGUCCCGAUGACACGAUGCGAUUUUAAGGUCACAUUUUAUUUAACGCUCCCGUUUACGCAACCGUCGCCCGAUAAAGCGUGUACUCCCCCGAUUUGUAAUUCAUUCACGCGUGGCGAUCGUGCCCGCUAUUCUUUUGGUCCCGAAAAAAUUCCUCCUUUUUUCUUCUUUUUUCCAGCAUACGUAGAUUCCAGAGUUCCACUUAGUAUUUAGAUACGCGGUACAAGUACAUUCUGGAAAUCACACGAAGGAAGAUAUCACAGAUGUAAAAACGAACGCUAUAGUGUCGUGACGAAACUGGAAAAAAAAUUGUCUCGAUGUUUAUAAUAUCAUAUAUGUUUAUAAUAUCAAUAAACACUUUUCGUCAAGGAUUUUGCAUGGUAUGAACGUUGCUCGUAUGUACGCGGCACCCAAUGCGCGAAGCGCGUGCGUCCCGCGGGAGGAAGAUACUCGUUUCCGCCCGAUGCGAUACCGAUGGAUACUUGCGGGAAAUGCGCUCUUUUUUUGUUCCCUUCCCAACAAUGAUAAGUAACACGUUGCAUAUAUCGCGAAAUUUUUUUUCGCGCUGACGUGCGGUCGUCACACAACCGUCGUACGCGGCAUCCCGAGGACGACUGAUUACGAGCGGAAAGCGGAAUCCGCACGAGCGGAGCGCG
This 3436-nucleotide unclassified non-coding RNA is filed under the name Monomorium pharaonis (pharaoh ant). RNAcentral's name for it is "sex-lethal homolog, transcript variant X3". The record is from RNAcentral. Lineage: Eukaryota; Metazoa; Arthropoda; Insecta; Hymenoptera; Formicidae.